RNAcentral lists this ribosomal RNA (465 nucleotides) under uncultured bacterium. RNAcentral's name for it is "partial 16S ribosomal RNA". It matches the Rfam family "Bacterial small subunit ribosomal RNA", at positions 28 to 507 of the family's 1533-position model. The record is from RNAcentral.
GACGAACGCUGGCGGCGUGCUUAACACAUGCAAGUCGAACGGAAAGGCCCCUUUGGGGGUACUCGAGUGGCGCACGGGUGAGUAACACGUGAGUAACCUGCCCUUGACUUCGGGAUAACUUCAGGAAACUGGGGCUAAUACCGGAUAGGAAUCCUUGCUGCAUGGUGGGGGUUGGAAAGCUUCGGCGGUUUUGGAUGGACUCGCGGCUUAUCAGCUUGUUGGUGGGGUAGUGGCUUACCAAGGCUUUGACGGGUAGCCGGCCUGAGAGGGCGACCGGCCACAUUGGGACUGAGAUACGGCCCAGACGCCUACGGGAGGCAGCAGUGGGGAAUAUUGCACAAUGGGCGGAAGCCUGAUGCAGCAACGCCGCGGGCGGGAUGACGGCCUUCGGGUUGUAAACCGCUUUCAGCAGGGGCGAAGCUUGUGGUGACGGUACCUGCAGAAGAAGCACCGGCUAACUACGUG